Molecule: long non-coding RNA, 151 nt
Organism: Myotis lucifugus (little brown bat)
Lineage: Eukaryota; Metazoa; Chordata; Mammalia; Chiroptera; Vespertilionidae
Exons: 2
Source: RefSeq, a predicted model, not a curated record
GGACAGCACUCCAACCAACUGAGCCAUACCGGCCAAAAAAGGAGUCAAAUCCUGUGGCAAAUCAAAUAUGUGAAGUCUCCAGUUUACGAAGAAAUUGAAUUUGCAAUGAUUCUUAUGAGGCUAAGUGUAAAAUUAAAAUUCUUGAUUAUCA